UUUGGGUGACAGUUUCUGACUUGCUUUUCAUUCUGCAUAGGAAGGAGCAGAUUAAUUGGUUAUCAGGUGAGAUGAGCUGCAGCAGAAUUUGUAUUCAGCAGUGACAGAAUUAAUUUUGGAAGUGGAUCAACUGCACCUCUCUGAGCACUCAGGAGCAUUACAGGAGCUGACAGCUUCUCUGGAGAUGAUGUAUGGUCAAGAUUCUGAAGCAGAUGACUCAGGAGAUUUUCAACAGUUCUUUGAGUGGAUGGGUGUUAAAACAAAGAAAUUAAUUUGUGUCAGAAAUAAUAUGGACACAACUCUGCAAAUUCUUGCUGACUGGUUCAGUGACAUCUCAAAGGACUCAGUCUACCUGGAAAGACUGUCAGCUGCUCCUUCUCCAUUCCUGCAGACCAGCUCCCUCAAUCUCCUUCUUGUCACUAUUACCCUCCAGGAGCAUGAUGAAGCACAGAAGAAAAUAAUCAUGAGUACUCACAAUAAAGCCAUAUAUGAAGCUCAAUAUGAGCAAAGUGUAACCACAGAAUAGAUAUUGGCCAGUGUUGAGUUCAAAAAACCAUGCAGAGGAGUUGUUGAAGAGAAGACAUGUUAUUCACUACUUAUUAUCUGUUAAGAAAACUGUGAAAAGCUUAAAGGCCCAGUUAAAGUGGAAGCUGUUUGAAAAGAGCAAAUUUUAUGGUGUUGGAAUUUUUGUCUGUAUUGUUCAGAUGGUUUAAGAAACAUUAAUUUUGUCUAUUCCAAGUAAGAGGCGACGAUGUAAAACAGUUUGUGUCUUCUGAAUUAAAUUUUGCCUUUAAAUGUGGAAGCUUUACAGGCCCCUGAGACCAAGCUGGAAUGGUUUAAAAAACAAAACAACCCUCCACUAACCAACCACCAAGGAAAAAAAAGUACACAGACUUUUCUGUUUCAGUCUCUAGCCAUGAUGUUGUGCUGUCCUUUUUAACUAAUUCCCUCUGGUGACAGGUGCUGUUCACAGCAUGAGCAGUUUUUGUCCAACUCCUUCUAUUGUGCUGGUUGCUUUUAACUUUGUUGAUAAUGUGUGCAUAUUCUCCUUGGUGACAGAAGACAGAGUCUGUUCCAGCUUUCAGGAUUCCCCACUAUUCCUCAGAGAGCU
Molecule: long non-coding RNA, 1111 nt
Filed under: Zonotrichia albicollis (white-throated sparrow)
Lineage: Eukaryota; Metazoa; Chordata; Aves; Passeriformes; Passerellidae
Description: lncRNA (ENSZALG00000011276.1)
Source: RNAcentral